Molecule: ribosomal RNA, 153 nt
Organism: Myotis lucifugus (little brown bat)
Lineage: Eukaryota; Metazoa; Chordata; Mammalia; Chiroptera; Vespertilionidae
Rfam family: 5.8S ribosomal RNA
About the family: 5.8S ribosomal RNA (5.8S rRNA) is a component of the large subunit of the eukaryotic ribosome. It is transcribed by RNA polymerase I as part of the 45S precursor that also contains 18S and 28S rRNA.
Source: Ensembl
GACUCUUAGCGGUGGAUAACUCGGCUCGUGCGUUGAUGAAGAACGCAGCUAGCUGUGAGAAUUAAUGUGAAUUGCAAGACACAUUGAUCAUCGACACUUCACAUGCACUUACCGGCCAGGGUUCCUACCCGGGCUGCGCCUGUGUGAGCAUCG